RNAcentral lists this ribosomal RNA (512 nucleotides) under uncultured cyanobacterium. RNAcentral's name for it is "bacterial SSU rRNA". It matches the Rfam family "Bacterial small subunit ribosomal RNA", at positions 116 to 661 of the family's 1533-position model. Lineage: Bacteria; Bacillati; Cyanobacteriota. The record is from RNAcentral.
CGUGAGAAUCUGGCUUUAGGUCGGGGACAACAGUUGGAAACGACUGCUAAUACCGGAUAUGCCGAGAGGUGAAAGAUUAAUUGCCUGAAGAAGAGCUCGCGUCUGAUUAGCUAGUUGGUGGGGUAAGAGCUUACCAAGGCGACGAUCAGUAGCUGGUCUGAGAGGACGAUCAGCCACACUGGGACUGAGACACGGCCCAGACUCCUACGGGAGGCAGCAGUGGGGAAUUUUCCGCAAUGGGCGAAAGCCUGACGGAGCAACACCGCGUGAGGGAGGAAGGCUCUUGGGUUGUAAACCUCUUUUCUUAGGGAAGAAAAAAAUGACGGUACCUAAGGAAUCAGCAUCGGCUAACUCCGUGCCAGCAGUCGCGGUAAUACGGAGGAUGCAAGCGUUAUCCGGAAUGAUUGGGCGUAAAGCGUCCGCAGGUGGCAUUUCAAGUCUGCGGUCAAAGGUCGAGGCUCAACCUCGAACAGGCCGUGGAAACUGAAAAGCUAGAGUGUGGUAGGGGCAGA